AGAGUUUGAUCAUGGCUCAGAUUGAACGCUGGCGGCAGGCCUAACACAUGCAAGUCGAACGGUAGCACAGAGAGCUUGCUCUCGGGUGACGAGUGGCGGACGGGUGAGUAAUGUCUGGGAAACUGCCUGAUGGAGGGGGAUAACUACUGGAAACGGUGGCUAAUACCGCAUAACGUCGCAAGACCAAAGAGGGGGACCUUCGGGCCUCUUGCCAUCAGAUGUGCCCAGAUGGGAUUAGCUAGUUGGUGAGGUAACGGCUCACCAAGGCGACGAUCCCUAGCUGGUCUGAGAGGAUGACCAGCCACACUGGAACUGAGACACGGUCCAGACUCCUACGGGAGGCAGCAGUGGGGAAUAUUGCACAAUGGGCGCAAGCCUGAUGCAGCCAUGCCGCGUGUAUGAAGAAGGCCUUCGGGUUGUAAAGUACUUUCAGCGGGGAGGAAGGUGUUGUGGUUAAUAACCGCAGCAAUUGACGUUACCCGCAGAAGAAGCACCGGCUAACUCCGUGCCAGCAGCCGCGGUAAUACGGAGGGUGCAAGCGUUAAUCGGAAUUACUGGGCGUAAAGCGCACGCAGGCGGUCUGUCAAGUCGGAUGUGAAAUCCCCGGGCUCAACCUGGGAACUGCAUUCGAAACUGGCAGGCUUGAGUCUUGUAGAGGGGGGUAGAAUUCCAGGUGUAGCGGUGAAAUGCGUAGAGAUCUGGAGGAAUACCGGUGGCGAAGGCGGCCCCCUGGACAAAGACUGACGCUCAGGUGCGAAAGCGUGGGGAGCAAACAGGAUUAGAUACCCUGGUAGUCCACGCCGUAAACGAUGUCUACUUGGAGGUUGUGCCCUUGAGGCGUGGCUUCCGGAGCUAACGCGUUAAGUAGACCGCCUGGGGAGUACGGCCGCAAGGUUAAAACUCAAAUGAAUUGACGGGGGCCCGCACAAGCGGUGGAGCAUGUGGUUUAAUUCGAUGCAACGCGAAGAACCUUACCUGGUCUUGACAUCCACAGAACUUUCCAGAGAUGGAUUGGUGCCUUCGGGAACUGUGAGACAGGUGCUGCAUGGCUGUCGUCAGCUCGUGUUGUGAAAUGUUGGGUUAAGUCCCGCAACGAGCGCAACCCUUAUCCUUUGUUGCCAGCGGUCCGGCCGGGAACUCAAAGGAGACUGCCAGUGAUAAACUGGAGGAAGGUGGGGAUGACGUCAAGUCAUCAUGGCCCUUACGACCAGGGCUACACACGUGCUACAAUGGCGCAUACAAAGAGAAGCGACCUCGCGAGAGCAAGCGGACCUCAUAAAGUGCGUCGUAGUCCGGAUUGGAGUCUGCAACUCGACUCCAUGAAGUCGGAAUCGCUAGUAAUCGUGGAUCAGAAUGCCACGGUGAAUACGUUCCCGGGCCUUGUACACACCGCCCGUCACACCAUGGGAGUGGGUUGCAAAAGAAGUAGGUAGCUUAACCUUCGGGAGGGCGCUUACCACUUUGUGAUUCAUGACUGGGGUGAAGUCGUAACAAGGUAACCGUAGGGGAACCUGCGGUUG
Molecule: ribosomal RNA, 1520 nt
Filed under: Salmonella enterica
Lineage: Bacteria; Pseudomonadati; Pseudomonadota; Gammaproteobacteria; Enterobacterales; Enterobacteriaceae
Also listed under: 1 other name
Description: bacterial SSU rRNA
Rfam family: Bacterial small subunit ribosomal RNA
Source: RNAcentral